UUUAAAGUGUAAUGUAAGUCGCUUUGGAUAAAAGCGUCUGCCAAAUGACAUGUA
Gasterosteus aculeatus (three-spined stickleback) is the source of this 54-nucleotide regulatory RNA element. It matches the Rfam family "UnaL2 LINE 3' element". Rfam says of the family: The eel long interspersed element (LINE) UnaL2 and its partner short interspersed element (SINE) share a conserved 3' tail containing a stem-loop that is critical for their retrotransposition. The record is from Rfam. Lineage: Eukaryota; Metazoa; Chordata; Actinopteri; Perciformes; Gasterosteidae.